Molecule: unclassified non-coding RNA, 300 nt
Filed under: uncultured Clavariaceae
Lineage: Eukaryota; Fungi; Basidiomycota; Agaricomycetes; Agaricales; Clavariaceae
Description: sequence contains 5.8S rRNA gene, ITS2
Rfam family: 5.8S ribosomal RNA (bases 1-71)
Source: RNAcentral
GUGAAUCAUCGAAUCUUUGAACGCACCUUGCGCCCUUUGGUAUUCCGAAGGGCAUGCCUGUUUGAGUGUCAUUAAAUUCUCAACUUCAAAGGGCUUUGUUGCCUCUCUGAAGCUUGGAUUAUGGAGGUCUUAAAUUGCCGGCUUCACAGUCAGCUCCUCUUAAAUGCAUUAGCGGAACUUUUUUGAUGAACCUUUUAAAAGGGGACCAGCUUUGGCUUGAUAAUAUUAUCUAUGCUAUUGUUGUGAGAACCUAUGGUUUGUUAUGUUCAGCUUCUAAUGGUCCUUUGGACUGUCUCUCUU